RNAcentral lists this ribosomal RNA (306 nucleotides) under uncultured Enterobacteriaceae bacterium. RNAcentral describes it as "bacterial SSU rRNA". It matches the Rfam family "Bacterial small subunit ribosomal RNA", at positions 355 to 655 of the family's 1533-position model. Lineage: Bacteria; Pseudomonadati; Pseudomonadota; Gammaproteobacteria; Enterobacterales; Enterobacteriaceae. The record is from RNAcentral.
UGGGAGAUAUUGCACAAUGGGCGCAAGCCUGAUGCAGCCAUGCCGCGUGUAUGAAGAAGGCCUUCGGGUUGUAAAGUACUUUCAGCGAGGAGGAAGGCAUUAAGGUUAAUAACCUUAGUGAUUGACGUUACUCGCAGAAGAAGCACCGGCUAACUCCGUGCCAGCAGCCGCGGUAAUACGGAGGGUGCAAGCGUUAAUCGGAAUUACUGGGCGUAAAGCGCACGCAGGCGGUCUGUCAAGUCGGAUGUGAAAUCCCGGGCUCAACCUGGAACUGCAUUCGAAACUGGCAGGCUAGAGUCUUGUAGA